AGAGUUUGAUCCUGGCUCAGGAUGAACGCUAGCUACAGGCUUAACACAUGCAAGUCGAGGGGAAACGACAUCGAAAGCUUGCUUUUGAUGGGCGUCGACCGGCGCACGGGUGAGUAACGCGUAUCCAACCUGCCCAUCACUUGGGGAUAACCUUGCGAAAGUAAGACUAAUACCCAAUGACGUCUCUAGAAGACAUCUGAAAGAGAUUAAAGAUUUAUCGGUGAUGGAUGGGGAUGCGUCUGAUUAGCUUGUUGGCGGGGUAACGGCCCACCAAGGCGACGAUCAGUAGGGGUUCUGAGAGGAAGGUCCCCCACAUUGGAACUGAGACACGGUCCAAACUCCUACGGGAGGCAGCAGUGAGGAAUAUUGGUCAAUGGACGAGAGUUUGAACCAGCCAAGUAGCGUGCAGGAUGACGGCCCUAUGGGUUGUAAACUGCUUUUAUAAGGGAAUAAAGUGAGCCUCGUGAGGCUUUUUGCAUGUACCUUAUGAAUAAGGACCGGCUAAUUCCGUGCCAGCAGCCGCGGUAAUACGGAAGGUCCGGGCGUUAUCCGGAUUUAUUGGGUUUAAAGGGAGCGUAGGCCGGAGAUUAAGCGUGUUGUGAAAUGUAGAUGCUCAACAUCUGCACUGCAGCGCGAACUGGUUUCCUUGAGUACGCACAAAGUGGGCGGAAUUCGUGGUGUAGCGGUGAAAUGCUUAGAUAUCACGAAGAACUCCGAUUGCGAAGGCAGCUCACUGGAGCGCAACUGACGCUGAAGCUCGAAAGUGCGGGUAUCGAACAGGAUUAGAUACCCUGGUAGUCCGCACGGUAAACGAUGGAUGCCCGCUGUUGGUCUGAAUAGGUCAGCGGCCAAGCGAAAGCAUUAAGCAUCCCACCUGGGGAGUACGCCGGCAACGGUGAAACUCAAAGGAAUUGACG
This 917-nucleotide ribosomal RNA is filed under the name uncultured bacterium. RNAcentral's name for it is "bacterial SSU rRNA". It matches the Rfam family "Bacterial small subunit ribosomal RNA", at positions 8 to 915 of the family's 1533-position model. The record is from RNAcentral.